Molecule: long non-coding RNA, 1501 nt
Organism: Acanthochromis polyacanthus (spiny chromis)
Lineage: Eukaryota; Metazoa; Chordata; Actinopteri; Pomacentridae
Exons: 7
Source: RefSeq, a predicted model, not a curated record
ACGUUUAUCUUUUGUUUAAAUGUGCUGUUUUAACGUGCUUUAACGUUGCUGUUUUGCUAUUUUGUGACAGACAAGGAAGGAAGUGAUAUUAUUUUAUCUCCAGUUGCAUUAUCUCCUUGCAUUAGUUUCAGACUUACGUCAGACUUAUUUAUUUUGUCACGUGCUAAGUAGCAAGCCCAUUAGAAAAGUGACGUUUAACAAAACAUUUAAACGAUGCCAUUCCUUUUAGAAUUAGACUGAUUCAAAAUAUUCAGAAUAAUCUACUGGAAUUGGAGGAGAAGCUCGAGGCGUGGAGGUUUGCCCUGGAAAGGAGAGGAAUGAAGGUUAGCCGCAGCAAGACGGAGUAUCUGUGUGUGAAUGAGAGGGACCCAAGUGGAAGAGUGAGGUUACAGGGAGAAGAGAUCAAGAAGGUGGAGGAUUUUAAGUACUUAGGGUCAACAGUCCAGAGCAAUGGAGAGUGUGGAAAAGAGGUGAAGAAGUGUGUACAGGCAGGCUGGAACGGCUGGAGAAAAGUGUCAGAGAAUAGAGCACGUGUUUGCUGCAAACAGCCGCGUCAUUGCCACAUGGUUUCCACCAUCAUCCACAAACCCCAUGGAUCACCUGCUGGACAAUGCAGCCAGUCUCCAGUGGGUUCUGCUUCCAGUAUUUGUACCUGGACACUGGAUACUCUGCACAUUGCUCACAGCCUAUCUCCUGGCCCUUGGAGGCAGCUUGGUGUGAAUGAUGUUCAGGAAAACAUGCUGCAGAUUAGAAGAUGGUGGUGUCUUGUUCUCCUGCAGAACUUCCCCAUGCUAUCUGAAGAAGAGACAUUGCAGCAAAGAAAAAUGCAACGAGAGCAGAAAAAACUACAGGAUGUGGCUGAAGUCCCCCUGAAAAUGUUUAGGCUUUCAGAAUCUGCCACUGAAGCAUCAGGUAUUGUUCCAGCCAGCAUUGUCUCACACAUAUCCAUCAAGGUUGUUGAGGUUCCAUGUCACAGAGCAGUCAUUAUUUCUCUGUGUACUUAAAAUCAACCACUUAAAUCUUGCGUUUUCACUGUGCCUGUAUACACCACAAUCUGUUUCCUUUCUAGAUGAGGCUGAGAACAGGACUGGGAACAGGAAACGGGGUAUAUUGCCUGAGAUGGGUAGUCUCAUUUCAGUGUUUUCUGCAAUCUCCGAGCCUUUACUUAAAUAACUGUUUUCUUUAUUUUUGUUUAGGAGAAUCCUUUGGUCAGGGAUGCAAUGGCGGCAGCCCGGUAGUGUGGGACCAGAACUUUCAAGGGAAAAAUUUCCCUUCCCCAAGUUGUUACCAUGGCCAAGGAGCAACGCGUGAGGGCAGUGGAACUCCUGUGUGUCUGUGAUGGCCAGGAAGAAGAGGAGACCGCUGAUCUCAGAGAACCGUUCCUUUUUCUUUUUAGUCUGCAGGAAGACUAUGAGACAUUCUGUCAAGAAAUCAUUGACAGGAGAAACAUGAAGGUGUUUUGUGCUUUUGACAGAAAAGAAUAAAGUUGUGUUCAACGGUG